RNAcentral lists this ribosomal RNA (245 nucleotides) under uncultured bacterium. Its description in RNAcentral is "partial 16S ribosomal RNA". It matches the Rfam family "Bacterial small subunit ribosomal RNA", at positions 524 to 768 of the family's 1533-position model. The record is from RNAcentral.
CACGUAGGAGGCGAGCGUUAUCCGGAUUUACUGGGCGUAAAGCGUGUGCAGGCGGUCUGGCAAGUUGGAUGUGAAAGCUCCUGGCUCAACUGGGAGAGGUCGUUCAAUACUGCUGGACUUGAGGAUGGUAGAGGGAGGUGGAAUUCCGAGUGUAGUGGUGAAAUGCGUAGAUAUUCGGAGGAACACCAGUGGCGAAAGCGGCCUCCUGGACCAUUUCUGACGCUCAUACACGAAAGCUAGGGGAG